GGUGAACCUGCGGAAGGAUCAUUACUGAAUUGUAAUGGGGGUUGAUGCUGGCAGUCCUACCUUUUGGUCUGCAUGUGCUUGCUCCCGACAAUCUUUAUCCCAAACACCUGUGUGCACCUUUUGAAGAGGGGGAGGGUUUUUUGUGUAGUAAAUAUUACUACUAGGAUUAUCCUCCUUCUUUUACACAUUAUACACUGCUUGCAAAUGUUGAACGUGAAUUGUGCCUGUAAGGCAUUAAUAAAAUACAACCUUUAACAACGGAUCUCUUGGCUCUCGCAUCGAUGAAGAACGCAGCGAAAUGCGAUAAGUAAUGUGAAUUGCAGAAUUCAGUGAAUCAUCGAAUCUUUGAACGCACCUUGCGCUCCUUGGUAUUCCGAGGAGCACGCCUGUUCGAGUGUCGUGAAGUUUCUCAAGCUUGGAUGCUUUUUGUUUGACGAAAAUGCUCUUGGCUUGGUAUUGGGCUUUGCCGUGUCCCCAUUCUUUGGGAACGGCUGGUCUUAAAGGUAUUAGCUUGACCCCUGACGUGGCAUUGGUUCUACUCAGUGUGAUAAAUAAUCUGACCGCUGAGGACAUCUUUCGAGAUGGCCAGUUCUAGUUGGGGUUGCUCUCUAAUCCGGUUAACAGGGUCUCCUCAGAUCCUGCUCCACUUUCAAUUUUGACCUCGAAUCAGGUGGGACUACCCGCUGAACUUAAGCAUAUCAAUAAGCGGAGGAAAAGAAACUAACAAGGAUUCCCCUAGUAACGGCGAGUGAAGCGGGAAAAGCUCAAAUUUAAAAUCUGGUAUAUCUUUGAUUGCCUGAGUUGUAAUCUAGAGAAGUGUUUUCCGUGCUGGACUGUGUACAAGUUUCCUGGAUACGGAACAUCAUAGAGGGUGAGAAUCCCGUCCUUGACACAAGACU
RNAcentral lists this ribosomal RNA (899 nucleotides) under uncultured fungus. RNAcentral describes it as "eukaryotic LSU rRNA". The stretch from base 657 to 899 matches the Rfam family "Eukaryotic large subunit ribosomal RNA", at positions 1 to 237 of the family's 3401-position model. Lineage: Eukaryota; Fungi. The record is from RNAcentral.